AACGAACGCUGGCGGCAGGCUUAACACAUGCAAGUCGAGCGCCCCGCAAGGGGAGCGGCAGACGGGUGAGUAACACGUGGGAACGUACCCUUUACUACGGAAUAGCUCCGGGAAACUGGAAUUAAUACCGUAUGUGCCCUUUGGGGGAAAGAUUUAUCGGUAAAGGAUCGGCCCGCGUUGGAUUAGCUAGUUGGUGGGGUAAAGGCCUACCAAGGCGACGAUCCAUAGCUGGUCUGAGAGGAUGAUCAGCCACAUUGGGACUGAGACACGGCCCAAACUCCUACGGGAGGCAGCAGUGGGGGAUAUUGGACAAUGGGCGCAAGCCUGAUCCAGCCAUGCCGCGUGAGUGAUGAAGGCCCUAGGGUUGUAAAGCUCUUUCACCGGUGAAGAUAAUGACGGUAACCGGAGAAGAAGCCCCGGCUAACUUCGUGCCAGCCGCCGCCGUAA
RNAcentral lists this ribosomal RNA (447 nucleotides) under uncultured bacterium. RNAcentral describes it as "partial 16S ribosomal RNA". It matches the Rfam family "Bacterial small subunit ribosomal RNA", at positions 29 to 523 of the family's 1533-position model. The record is from RNAcentral.